UAAGYGGAGGAGAAGAAACUAACCAGGAUUUCCCUAGUAACGGCGAGCGAACCGGAAAGAGCCCAGCUUGGGAAUCGUGGUGCCCCGCACCUCGAGUUGUAGUCUGGAGAAGGUCCCUCUGCGGCGCGCCGGACCCAAGUUCCCUGGAAAGGGACGUCAUCGAGGGUGACAGCCCCGUCCGYGCCCGGAACGCGUCGCUCCACGAGGACCUGUCUGCGAGUCGGGCUGUUUGGGAAUGCAGCCCUAAUCGGGAGGUAAAUUCCUUCCAAGGCUAAAUAUGGGCAAGAGACCGAUAGCGAACAAGUACCGCGAGGGAAAGAUGAAAAGGACUUUGAAAAGAGAGUUAAAAAGUGCUUGAAAUUGCUGGGAGGGAAGCGAAUGGAAGCUGCGGGUGCGCCCCGGUUGGAUGUGGAACGGCUUCGGCUGGUCCGCCGCUCAACGCGGGGCGCUGGUCAGCGUGGGCCACGGCGCCGGGACAAGAGCGGGGAUUCGCUUCCCGCCUAUGCCGGUGCGGUGGCCGAGGAACGAAGCGCGCGCCCCUCGGGGCGUGGGUUCGCCCAACUGUGCGCUCGGGACGCUGGCGUAUUGAGCUCUUCAUCCGACCCGUCUUGAAACACGGACCAAGGAGUCUAACAUGUAUGCGAGCCGGUGGGCGGCAAACCCAUUGAGGCGCAAGUAAACUGACAGGUGGGACCCCGACCGCGCAAGGGGAGGGAGCACCAUCGACCGACCGUGAUCUUCUGUGAAAGGUUUGAGUGUGAGCAUACCUGUUGGGACCCGAAAGAUGGUGAACUAUGCCUGAGCAGGGCGAAGCCAGAGGAAACUCUGGUGGAGGCUCGUAGCGAUACUGACGUGCAAAUCGUUCGUCAGACUUGGGUAUAGGGGCGAAAGACUAAUCGAACCAUCUAGUAGCUGGUUCCCUCCGAAGUUUCCCUCAGGAUAGCUGGAGCUCGUGUACAAGUUUUAUCAGGUAAAGCGAAUGAUUAGAGGCAUCGGGGGUGUAACACCCUCGACCUAUUCUCAAACUUUAAAUAGGUAAGCCGCCGGGGUUGCUUGGUUGAACCCCGGCACAGAAUGAGAGCUCCAAGUGGGCCAU
RNAcentral lists this ribosomal RNA (1096 nucleotides) under Caribaeohypnum polypterum. RNAcentral's name for it is "eukaryotic LSU rRNA". It matches the Rfam family "Eukaryotic large subunit ribosomal RNA", at positions 47 to 1134 of the family's 3401-position model. Lineage: Eukaryota; Viridiplantae; Streptophyta; Bryopsida; Hypnales; Taxiphyllaceae. The record is from RNAcentral.